Molecule: ribosomal RNA, 397 nt
Filed under: uncultured bacterium
Lineage: Bacteria
Description: partial 16S ribosomal RNA
Rfam family: Bacterial small subunit ribosomal RNA
Source: RNAcentral
AUACGUAGGGGGCGAGCGUUGUCCGGAAUGAUUGGGCGUAAAGGGCGCGUAGGCGGCGCGGUAAGUCUGGAGUGAAAGUCCUGCUUUCAAGGUGGGAAUUGCUUUGGGUACUGCCGCGCUUGAGUGCAGGAGAGGUUAUCGGAAUUCCCGGUGUAGCGGUGAAAUGCGUAGAGAUCGGGAGGAACACCAGUGGCGAAGGCGGGUAACAGGACGGCGACUGACGCUGAGGCGUGAAAGUGUGGAGAGCAAACAGGAUUAGAUACCCUGGUAGUCCACCCUGUAAACGAUGAAUGCUAGGUGUAAGAGGUAUCGAGCCCUUUUGUGCCGGAGUCAACACAAUAAGCAUUCCGCCUGGGGAGUACGGCCGCAAGGUUGAAACUCAAAGGAAUUGACGGGG